CCCUUAAACAGUCAAAUAUCAUUUCCUAAAAACAAUAAUUAUACCCCCGCCUAAUUAAUGGACUCUGCCUUUUGAAAAGACAUAUCACAAUCAAAAGUCCAUUUCCAAAUAUUUCCUUUCCCAAAACUAGAUCCUUAUGGCUUUUAGAAUCAAAAGCGUUCAACAUUGGCCAGAAAAUCACCACUAUUUAUUUUCUCCUCCUAACUCUUACUUUCCUUCACUACUGUUUUCCCCCAUCGAUAAGCAACCCAACAAUACCUUAAACCCGAUUUUCAUUUCACAGUACCAAAGAUACUCCCCCAACUGUUCCCCAUCGAUCUUUCUCCACCGCCUCCUCUAUAAAAUUCGACAACCCGUUAAGAAGAUAAGUAUUCAUUUCCCCCCUUAAUCCUUCAAUGGCCAAAAGAUGAGCCACUUGGUUCCCCUGCCUUUGAAUAUGUAAGAAUACACAGUUUUUAAAUCUCUUCCUCAAAGAGUUUAGAUCUAAGAUGCAAGCACCGAUGCAUGACUCAUCUUUCCUGUUUUCCGGUAGUUUCUUUAUCACUGUAAGCGAAUUGCCUUCGAUCACCACAUCUUGAAACUCCAAAUCAAUGCCCAAUCAGACUGCUUGGAGAUGUGUAAUAGCUUUCGCAGCAAACACAGUUGGGAAUGAGCUUGAAAAGCCCCAUCAAAAUUUAUCUUUAUGAAAGCGUCCUCUGGAUGCCUCCAUCUUACAAUCUCAACUCGAGUAAUAGCUUAAACCAACAUAGGAGAGAGCUCUUUAAGCUGGUUCUUCAUAUUUUUACUUCAUAUUAUUGGAAGAUUGGACGAUCGGAUCAGCACUCAAGUCACAUUAUCCAGCUUAUCUCGGUAGUUUUUGAAAUGUUAAAUAAGGUUUAUAUGGCAUGUAUAGGCUUUCGUACGGUCUUAGUCAAACUUUAGCUUAUGUAAAUAUUAUAAAUAAUAUUUUGUUUAUAUAAUCAUCUUAUAUAUUGGUAUGAGAAUAAUGUAUAAUUAUGAUGUUAGUAUAAGUGAUAUAUGUAUGUAUUUAAAUUGUAGUGAACUUGGGUUACUUUGUUAGGUAAUUAUUUAGGUAAGUUUGGAUGCUUAGUUGACAUGUUUUUAAGUUGUCAUUUGAGGUGCCUAAGGGAAUAUUGGUUGUAUGUGGUGAUAA
Gossypium arboreum is the source of this 1153-nucleotide long non-coding RNA. RefSeq lists it as uncharacterized. The transcript is spliced from 4 exons. The record is from RefSeq and is a predicted model, not a curated record. Lineage: Eukaryota; Viridiplantae; Streptophyta; Magnoliopsida; Malvales; Malvaceae.